UACAGAGGGCUCAAGCGUUGUUCGGAUUUAUUGGGCGUAAAGGGUGCGUAGGCGGCGCGGUAAGUCGGGUGUGAAAUCUCGGAGCUUAACUCCGAAACUGCAUUCGAUACUGCCGUGCUUGAGGACUGGAGAGGAGACUGGAAUUUACGGUGUAGCGGUGAAAUGCGUAGAUAUCGUAAGGAAGACCAGUGGCGAAGGCGGGUCUCUGGACAGUUCCUGACGCUGAGGCACGAAGGCCAGGGGAGCAAACGGG
RNAcentral lists this ribosomal RNA (253 nucleotides) under uncultured bacterium. Its description in RNAcentral is "partial 16S ribosomal RNA". It matches the Rfam family "Bacterial small subunit ribosomal RNA", at positions 524 to 776 of the family's 1533-position model. The record is from RNAcentral.